Molecule: ribosomal RNA, 578 nt
Filed under: uncultured rumen bacterium
Lineage: Bacteria
Description: bacterial SSU rRNA
Rfam family: Bacterial small subunit ribosomal RNA
Source: RNAcentral
CGCUGGCGGCGUGCUUAACACAUGCAAGUCGAACGGGGAUAUGUUUGAUGAGAGCUUCGGCAGGAAUCGGAUAUAUUCUAGUGGCGGACGGGUGAGUAACGCGUGAGCAACCUGUCCCAGACAGGGGGAUAACACUUGGAAACAGGUGCUAAUACCGCAUAAGACCACAGGGUCACAUGGCCCAGGGGUAAAAGGUGCAAACCGGUUUGGGGUGGGCUCGCGUCCGAUUAGCCAGUUGGCGGGGUAACGGCCCACCAAAGCGACGAUCGGUAGCCGACCUGAGAGGGUGAUCGGCCACAUUGGAACUGAGAGACGGUCCAAACUCCUACGGGAGGCAGCAGUGGGGAAUAUUGGGCAAUGGGCGAAAGCCUGACCCAGCAACGCCGCGUGAGUGAAGAAGGCCUUCGGGUUGUAAAGCUCUGUUAUAGUUGACGAAGGAAGUGACGGUAGGCUAUAAGGAAGCCCCGGCUAACUACGUGCCAGCAGCCGCGGUAAUACGUAGGGGGCGAGCGUUGUCCGGAAUGACUGGGCGUAAAGGGCGUGUANGCGGCCGAUUAAGUCUGGAGUGAAAGUCCUGU